CAUGGAGGGUGAGAAUCCCGUCCGGUUGAUCAUUUGCGUUUUACGAUACGCUUUCUAAGAGUCAAGUUGUUUGGGAUUGCAGCUUAAAAUGGGAGGUAAAUUUCUCCUAAGGCUAAAUAACGGCGAGAGACCGAUAGCGAACAAGUACCGUGAGGGAAAGAUGAAAAGAACUUUGAAAAGAGAGUUAAACAGUACGUGAAAUUGUUGAAAGGGAAACGAUUGAAGCCAGUCGUACCUUCGGGUAAUCAGCCUUUCGGGUGCGAUUCUGUGGAGUGUGAGGAGCUUAACACCUUCAUGCUUUGCAUAUUCGUACUCUUGGGUGUACUUGCCCGUGUGGUUGGUUAACAUCAAUUUUGGUGGUCAUAAAAUGACGGGAGGAAUGUAGCUUCGAUCUCGUAUUGAAGUGUUAUAGCCUUCGGUAGAUGUGAUGAUCAAGAUUGAGGAUUGCAACGGAUACCCUUCGGGGCUACCUGUCUGGUCUCUGAUCGUUGCUCUGGUGCCGAAAGCUUGCUUACGGUUAUCAAAGUCGAUGGUCAAAAGGUUAGAAUGGGUUAAAUUCGUUAAGGAUGUUGACGUAAUGG
Molecule: ribosomal RNA, 581 nt
Filed under: uncultured Rhizophagus
Lineage: Eukaryota; Fungi; Glomeromycota; Glomeromycetes; Glomerales; Glomeraceae
Description: LSU rRNA
Rfam family: Eukaryotic large subunit ribosomal RNA
Source: RNAcentral